This is a long non-coding RNA of Callithrix jacchus (white-tufted-ear marmoset), 825 nucleotides long. RefSeq lists it as uncharacterized. NCBI's taxonomy places the organism in Eukaryota, Metazoa, Chordata, Mammalia, Primates, Cebidae. The record is from RefSeq and is a predicted model, not a curated record.
CAAGCCUUUCAACUCCCAGGAUUUUUGGCAGAUCAGCAUUUGUGCCAAUUUUUAAAGAGGCUGAGAAAGCUUAUUGUGAAGAAUGAUUUUUAGUUCUAUUUUUUUCAUCUGCUAAUGUUGUGUGUUCAGCCAAAGCAUGAACAGCAUCCCACCAGCCAUAUUGUACUACAUUAUGAAAUUGAGAAUUGCAUUAACAGGAUAAUCUCAUAGAUAUUUCCGAGACAGGAGAAAUGUGCGCAAUCAUUUUCUAAAGGGCAAGGAGAAAAUGGCAUCCAAUUGGACAGCAGUUGAUACCGGAAAAGAAGAGUCCAGCCCAAGUGAGCGUCUGGGCUCCUUUCUGUGACAGACGUCACCCUCCCAGCCAGCCUGCCAGUGCCCCAGCAGCAUAUGCUGUAAUCUGGAAGAUGCGGUUUCUAGUUACCAACCUGAUAUCUCUCUGCAGCAUGAAAAUGAAGUGACUAAUGUCAGAAAAACGAACAAACAAGGUAAACAAACAGGCAAGCAAAUGAACAAACAAAACAAUUUUCUAUGGAUCAAUCUAAAACUCCUACCAAGUUCAGUAUCUUCUGUGUAAGCUUGGAGAGAUGCCUUAAGGACUCUGUAAAAGUCACCUCUCUCUGUGCUGAGUCUGGCUUCAGAUUUCUCUCUUGUAUCAUGAGAAAUUAGAACUGAAGAAAAAGAAAGAUUCAAGGUUUUCAAAUGCCAUAUUCAGCCAAGAAGUGAUACACUUGUGAAGACUGAAAGACUGCCUAACUUGAGAAGAAUCACACCCAUGAACACUGUCUGAAACAAACUUAAUAAAAAACAUAUAACUAUUCUAUGAAA